CACGUAGGCGGACUUUUAAGUCAGGGGUGAAAUCCCGGGGCUCAACCCCGGAACUGCCUUUGAUACUGGAAGUCUUGAGUCCGAGAGAGGUGAGUGGAACUCCGAGUGUAGAGGUGAAAUUCGUAGAUAUUCGGAAGAACACCAGUGGCGAAGGCGGCUCACUGGCUCGGUACUGACGCUGAGGUGCGAAAGCGUGGGGAGCAAACA
Molecule: ribosomal RNA, 207 nt
Filed under: uncultured bacterium
Lineage: Bacteria
Description: partial 16S ribosomal RNA
Rfam family: Bacterial small subunit ribosomal RNA
Source: RNAcentral